CUUUGAAAUAAAUUAGCUCUUUUGUUUACUUUAAAGCCCUACGAGCAUGAAGACAUCCAGUGUCAGUUAGGCAACUUUUUUUAAACUGUACUUUUCUAAAUAAACCUACGCUACUAUGAAAACUGAAGUUUUUGUUUUUUUGCGGCCCAAAUGAACUUUAACCUUGUUUAUUUGGCCUGUGUUAGCCUUGGAGUUUGACAUGCUUGACCUAGACUGUUGUUGCUAAUCUGGAGGAUAAGGAUCCUUUCAAAAGAUCCCCAGCCUACGACUUAGAAGUCAUAGACAAGUAUGGUGCAGGGUAUUCAAAUGAGGAAUUUUACCCCCGUGACCAAGAUAGGGAUAACAUGUCCUUUCAAUUUGUCAAGGAGACAGUGUUCAUGAAGUUCACCUCCCCUACCUCUGGAGAAGAGCUCAGAUCAGUUGCUAGACACAUGGUUCCAACCCAGUUUAUUGCCUAACUCCUUAGAAUAUGGCUCUAUAAACCACUUGAGAAACAGAUUUGCGCUACCAACAUGAGUUAUCAACAUGGG
Molecule: non-coding RNA, 530 nt
Organism: Pelobates cultripes (western spadefoot toad)
Lineage: Eukaryota; Metazoa; Chordata; Amphibia; Anura; Pelobatidae
Source: the annotation of a GenBank genome assembly